This 490-nucleotide ribosomal RNA is filed under the name uncultured bacterium. RNAcentral describes it as "partial 16S ribosomal RNA". It matches the Rfam family "Bacterial small subunit ribosomal RNA", at positions 30 to 507 of the family's 1533-position model. The record is from RNAcentral.
AUUGAACGCUGGCGGCAGGCCUAACACAUGCAAGUCGAACGGUAACAGGAAGAAGCUUGCUUCUUUGCUGACGAGUGGCGGACGGGUGAGUAAUGUCUGGGAAACUGCCUGAUGGAGGGGGAUAACUACUGGAAACGGUAGCUAAUACCGCAUAACGUCGCAAGACUAAAGAGGGGGACCUUCGGGCCUCUUGCCAUCGGAUGUGCCCAGAUGGGAUUAGCUAGUAGGUGGGGUAACGGCUCACCUAGGCGACGAUCCCUAGCUGGUCUGAGAGGAUGACCAGCCACACUGGAACUGAGACACGGUCCAGGCUCCUACGGGAGGCAGCAGUGGGGAAUAUUGCACAAUGGGCGCAAGCCUGAUGCAGCCAUGCCGCGUGUAUGAAGAAGGCCUUCGGGUUGUAAAGUACUUUCAGCGGGGAGGAAGGGAGUAAAGUUAAUACCUUUACUCAUUGACGUUACCCGCAGAAGAAGCACCGGCUAACUCCGUG